CGAAUAGUCUUUUAUCACUAAUUGGUGGUAAACCGUGAAAAGUUAACUCUGAGCGCCCGUUAAAAAAGGGGGGCCAUCAGUUUAAAAAACUGGGGAAGAAAGGGAAGGGCAAGACCGGUGCCAGCCGCCGCGGUAAUACCGGCGGCUCGAGGGGGGGCCACUUUACCUGGGCUUAAAGGGUUCGUAGCUGGUUUGUUAAGUCCCUGGGGAAAUCUCCCGGCUUACCCGGAAGGGGUCUCAGGGAUACUGGCAGACUAGGGACCGGAAGAGGGGAGAGGAACUCCAGGGGAAGGAGGGAAAUCCUGUAAUCCUGGGGGAACCACCUGUGGCGAAGGGGUCUCACCAGGACGGUUCCAACAGUGAGGGACAAAAGCUGUGUAAGCAACCGGGAUUAGACCCCGGGUAGUCCCGGCGUUAAACGAGGUGCGUUAGGUGUAUGGGGGACACCAAGCACCAAGGGGCCAAAAAGAAAUCGGGAACGACCCCCCCUGGGAGAACGGUCCCAAGGUUGAACCUAAAAGGAAUUGGGGGGGAAAGGCCAAAUUCUUAAAACCUGCGGGAUAAGUCCCUUUUGUGGGGGUUAAUUUGAGGCUUGGGGUAUUCAUGGCCAAAGCGUUUUCCGGA
This 624-nucleotide ribosomal RNA is filed under the name uncultured Methanomicrobiaceae archaeon. RNAcentral's name for it is "partial 16S ribosomal RNA". It matches the Rfam family "Archaeal small subunit ribosomal RNA", at positions 340 to 975 of the family's 1478-position model. The record is from RNAcentral. Lineage: Archaea; Methanobacteriati; Methanobacteriota; Methanomicrobia; Methanomicrobiales; Methanomicrobiaceae.